AGACCACGUUGUGGGCGAUUCAUGUAAAAUCUUUGGCGUGGUAGCAUUUGUUUUGUUGUCAGCGGGCUAGCGGCAUGCCAUUCCAAGUUAGUUGUGUGUAGAAAAGUUUAUAGUGAUUUGUAUGCGUUUGAAAGCAGCUGAUUUUUAGCCUUUGUGGUUGCUCCUCUGCUUGGACAGGGAAAUGUCAUGCUGUCACAGUGAUCUGCUCCUACAACACCAGCUGCUCUGAAUGAAGAACAGUACUCAUCUCUGCAGUAAGUGAUUGUGGAGCACCUCAGGUAUUGUACCCACCACAUAUUUUGUCUUUAGGACAUCUGUAUACUGUGUUAAGCAGCACAUUAUUUGUCUGAUAUCUCAUUGUGGUUUUAGACAGAUUAUGUAAUACAUGCAGUCUAUUUCAUUAGGUAAUGUCUCUUGCUCCAGAAUCUUUUCUCAAUUUAAUCAAGAAGCUUCAAGUUAAUUGCGCUUUGUGUCAGUACAUUUAAACAGCAAAAAUGAUAGAAUAACAAACUUCUUAGUGAAAGAAGGAAAAACUGCUGAGAGAGAAAACCGCUACCUGCAAAGAAUGUGUGUUGACAGAGGACAAUCACUGAAAAAUCUACUGCAGUGAAACUGUUCCAGCACAUUCUUACACAGUUUCAAAGUUGCCAUGUUGUGAGCAUUGUUCGUAUUGUUAAACAAAUGUUUAUAGUCUGUUGACACUGAUAUCAAUCAUUUCCAAUGGUAUUUUUGCGUCUUCUUGUGCACUGUGCUCAGUGAAGAGAGCAGGUGAUUCCAGUAGGUAACUUUUACACCAUUUUUUUGAUGUGUAGUGUUUUCUUUAAUAAGACUUAACUACAAUAUGGGAUGAGGGCCGUUGUGUGUAAUAGAAUUCGACAUCGGUGUAAAAUUAAAUUUUUUAAAAAUUUUACAUUUCAAAAGUUGGAUCACUUUGGAACAGGAACUCUUAGUGUAACCAUAAAAUGGUAUUGCUCUAAAUAUAAUUUUAGAAAAAUAAGAUUAUAUUGACAUUUACUAUUGUGUAAAUGAAUACAAAUACAUGUGUAAUGGAAUGGGACUUAGAUAGGAUGUAAAAUCCACCUUAGGUGGGGCAUAGUAUAAAAAUUUUGUGAAAGGGUAAUUCCAUGUCAAAUCAACACACUUUAAAUAAAAAUUUGUCCUCACUCUCUUAGAUUUUGCUGGAACUUGAUAUUCUUAUAGUGGGUGCUUCAACUAAGAAAAAUACCAAAUUUCAAUUUUUUACCUCAAACCAUUCCUGAAAUAUGGCCGUGUAAACCUUUCAAAAACUGGCCAAAAUGUGUGAACGGACAUUUUUCAAGCUGUCCUAGGAGCUGCCCUAAUUGAGCUAGAGAGCUGGGAAAGGUGUCAUUUUGCAGCAUUUUUCAUGCUCUUUCCAGUGAUAUACAACAAAACAGCUUAUAAUUAAUAACCUUUUUCAGAAUGCUAAUUAAUAUUUUAAUUAAAUUUUUUUACAUAAAGUACAUAAUUUGAAAAUUUUCAAAAUAUUUCAAUAACUACUUCAUAUUGUUAUAAAUCACAUGGCACAAUAUAAAUGUGGGAUGAUGGGUUCAUUGUUUAAAAAAAUUAUUCCUGAUUCUUGUUUUUUGACCAAACUGACCUUUAACAAACAGGAAUUUCAGUAAAAUAUACUGAAAGGUAAUUAAAAAAGUACUAGAAAUAUCAAAGUAUCACUUUCUUGAAACAAAACCAAACAACAUUUGCUAUAAUUGAUUGCUUUUUUUUUAAUUUCUUACAGUUUAAACUAAUAGUCGAUUAACCGGCAAACGAAAUGUUCAGUGUGGGACCUAUAGCUAAGAUUUAAAUAAGAUGUGAAAAACUUGGAAGUAGACUGUUGAUGUAAUACUUCUGGUCCUAAAAAGCACAUUUCAUUAGCACAGACUUUAGCCACUGUGUGAAGGCUGAGCAUGCUUGUGUUCCCGUCUAUGUAUGCAGCAGGCUGUGAACACGUUGAAACACACACAGUGCUUGACGUCUGUACAAUCAUUGAGAGACUGGAGCCAUUGUUAAGAGGAUAUACGACUGUUACCUUCUAAGGCUUAGUGUGCCUAUAGCAUUAUUGUGCACUGUUGUUUUUGUGCAAAUCAGUUGUUAACUCUGUGUUGACCAGUUUGUAUCAAGUAUAUUUAAUAGUUCAUUUACAAGUAAAUCUAUAAAUUGAAGGAGACUUUGUAAGUGGUUUUUGUAUCAAUAUGGAACCAAAUAAAAAGUGGAGUGCUGUAAGAGUGCAGUGUUGUAAUCCGUUGAAGUCAAAUCAUUUUAUUAGAGACAGAAAAAACUGAGGAAUGUCACAGCAUAAAUGCUCAAAUUAUAUCCACAAAUAGCUAAUGGUGGCAGGAUUUGUGGGGAAAUGUAGGAAAUAUGUAACCACAUUGAAAAAUAAACCAGAACCCAUCAGUUAUAAGUGUUGAAGAAGGUCCUUCUGGAUCAGAGAUAAUCAUCCCAGACCAAGACCCUGACUUCACUGCAAGUUCAUUGGUUGUUCAAACACUUAACACAUCAGUUAAAGAACUAGGUGAGUACCCAAUUGAUAAGAAAGAAGUAAGAUCUAGACGAUACAGUAAAUUAGAAGUGGAAAAAAUCUAAUCAGUGACAUGUAAACUUUUUGUUGCUGCUGAAGCUUCAUCAGAUACUGAUACUGACGAAUCCAUUCUUCAAAAAAUCGAAUCAAACUGUAAUAAUUCUAUAAGUAAGCAAAAAAACUAAUGGUUUUUAAAAGUUCACCUGAAAAGUGGGGUGUCAGGAAAAUAACGAGGGAAUUUAAUGCUCCUAAUUACAUUGUUAGGCAGUCCAAAAAAAGUUUUGAAAGGUCCAAACCCAAAACCAGGGAAGUGUUUACCAACAGAAACUGUCCAUUCAUUUUAUGAAAAUGAUGAAGUUAGCUGGGCAAUGCCAGGUGUUAAAGAUUGUGUGAUAAUUACAGAAGUGGAAGUAAAACAAAAAUAUCAAAAAUACUUAUUUUGUAUAACCUUAAAGAAACAAGUGUUUUAAAGACAAGUUUCCUAACAUAAAAAUAGGUUUCUCUAAAUUUGCCGAGUUGAGACUGAAACUUUGUGUAUUUGCUGUGUGUGCACAACUCACUAAAACAUAAAAUUAAUGAUAGAAAAUGCCAAACUAAAUACAGUAACAAACAGCAGCUUAAACAAUUAUAAGCAGUGCAUUAUAAAAAUGCUUUGCAACCAUCAUCAGUUGAUUGCAACAUGGGAAAUUGUGAAUAUUGCCCAGGAGAAACUGUCAUACGUAAAAUUUUACAAGACUUCUUUAAUGAAAACGUAAUUGAUCUAGUUCAGUUUCGACAGUGGAUGUCAGUUGACUGCUGUAAUCUGGAAAUUGUUCAGAAAACUUCUGAAGAAUUCAUAGAUUUCUUUUGUAGCAAGAUGUCUCCACAAGAGAAAACCUUAUGGAAUCUGAAUUUGUCAUCAUAUGUGAGUUUUUGGAAAAUUAUAGUAUAGUUCUAUAGGAUGAAGCUCAGAGACAAGACAACAGAUUACCGUUCAUACAUUUGUUAUAUAUUACAAACAGUAAGACAAAAUUGAGCAUAUGAGCUUUGUCAUUGUUUCAGAUUGCUUGGAGCACAAUACAGUUGUGGUUUACGCCUUUCAACAGAAGCUUUUCCUAUCUAACAAAUAAAUUUCAAAACUUCCAAAAAUAUAUACUAUUAUUCUGAUGGUUCUGCUGCUCAGUACAAAAAUAAGAAAAACUUCCUGAACCUUUGCCUUUGUUAGGAAGAUUUCAACAUAAAAUCUGAGUGGCACUUUUCAGCCACAACACUUGGGAAAGGGCCUUUUGAUGGAGUAGGAUGUUCAGUUAAGAGACUGGCAGCUCGUGUAAGUUUGCAAAGGCCAUACUAAAAUCAGAUCCAAACCCAACGAGAUUGGGCAGUGGAUCAUUUCACAAGUGUUGAUUUUGCAUAUUCCACUCAAUAAGACUAUGCUGCUUCAGAAAUAUUAUUAAAAAGCCGGCUUGAAGAGGCAUUGACAAUCAAAGGAACACAGCAAUUUCUACAUCUACAUUUAUACUGGGCAAGCCACCCAAUGGUGUGUGGCGGAGGGCACUUUAUGUGCCACUGUCAUUAACUUUCAUUCUCCAACACUACAUCAAAAUUAAUAGUUAGUUAUUUUUCAGGUGAUAUGCAGAGUUGGGAGAGGGAAGUAACUACAUCACCAGACAAACUGAAGUUACAAGAUGUAUCAGGCUAUGUCACCACUGUAUAUGGCAGAAACUGGUGGCUUCGGGUGGGUACAAAACAAAGAACUCGAUGAAGUGAAAAUAACUUUUUUUCAUCCAUGUGGACCAGCUAAGUCAUCAAGCAGAUGUCCUAUCCGUUGUGGGUGUCCACAAAUGUAAAUCCAUUUACUGCGACAGGGAGAACAUACAUUCUUACUGAACGUGAUGUAAACCAAACCCAGUCGGCUUUAUUAAAAUGUAAUCUGUGAAGUUCCAAGACAAUUUGUUGGGAAACUGCUUUCAACUCAAAACUUAAUUUUUGUCUGAGGUUACUGUUAACGUGUGUUUUAUAGAAAGUUGUUUCAAAAUUACUUAUCGUGUUAAAUUUAGCUAUGUAUAGAGAGAUACCUGUUACUCAAAAACAAGCAUUGUGUAUUAAUUUUUUUUUCUAGUUUCAUUCCAAACAUCAUGGACCUGAACUAUUAUGUAAAUACUUGUACUUUUUCAUACUUUAUUUCAGUUUGUAGUUAAAUGUUCAAACUUUUUUGUUUUAUCAGUUAAUAUACUGUUAGUUGAGUUGUAUGAAAUUAAAAUAAGCAAUCAGCUAUAAAAAUGAUUAUUUUUGUUUUAAUAAGGUGAUGUUUUGAUACUUCUAAUACUUUUUAUAGUUACCUUUCAGUAUAUUUUAAUGAAGUUCCUGUUUGUUAAAGGUCAGUUUCCUCAAACUAUGGCUGUUAGUGAAAAAAAGCAAGAGUCCAGAAUAACUGUUUUUAACAAUGAACCCAUCAUCAUCCCACAUUUAUAUUUUGCCGUAUUUACAACAGUAUGAAGUAGAAUAUUUUGAAAAUUUUCAAAUAUGUACUGUUGUAAAAAAAUUAAAUCAAAAUAUUAAUUAGUAUUCUGAAAAAGUUUAUUAAUUAGAAGCUAUGUUUUGUUGUAUAUUCGUGGAUAGAGCAAGCAAAAUGACACCUUUCCCAGCCCUCUAUCUCAAUUACAGCAGCUCCUAUGGCAAUUUAAAAAAAGUCCGUUCGCACAUUUUUGGCUGGUUUUUGAAAAGUUUACAUAACCAUAUUUCAGGAAUGGUUUGAGAUAAAAAAUUGAGAUUUGGAAUUUUUCUUAGAUUCAGCACCCCACUAUAAGUAUACUAAAUUUUAGCAAAAUCUAAAAUAGUGUGGUAAAAUAUGUGUGUUUAUUUUAACCAACUGGACUCCUAAACUUUUUGUGCCUCUUGAGUCAGUAGUCCUUUCUGGAUAUUAAUUUCUUUUGUUUUUCAUUCCUAUCUGGUACUUAAAUAUUAAAACUAUUUUUUCAAGUGGUGCAAUGGGACUACUACAAAACAGUUUUUAUUUUGAAAAAUAUAGGUUUCCAUUCUGAACUAAUUUACAUAUUUGAAUAUAAGUAGAUCAGACGAAAAAUAUUUAUGACCAAGCCAGGGAAUGGAAUUCGUGCUAAUUUCCAAGAAUCAUUGUGUAUUAAACAUGUAGGCCCCGGACAAUAUAUACCAACUACACAAACAUAGAUACUGUAUUUUGUGUUGACGAGAGCAGUGACAAAAGACGAAUGUUUACUAAGUUAUCAUUAGUUACAAAUGAAACUAGUAAUCAUGUUUACAUGACUCGGCAGCAGUGUCAUAUUCAUGGGCUAUUCUAAGGGUUUCGUGCACCACCUGAAGUAGUCCUUGUUUCCCUUAACCUGGGCACACUCUAGAUACACAUCUCAGGAAUACUGGGAGAGUCUCAGAAGUUUGAAUUUCCCCAUGAAACUGCGACUUGUGUAUGUACAGUUACUGGAAGAGGUAUAGUACAUCCCUCUCCCCUGUUAGGACCUCUCUUUUAAUCAACACUUUGACAGAUUUCCACAAGCAUUCUUAUAUUCUGUGUGUGGACGAAUGACACAUCCAAAGAGACAAAUUCCACAGAAUGAUUUACAGAUUCAUGUUGGAAACUUUUCUUCGCUGUGUUGUAGAAAAUAAAAUCUGUCUGGUAACUCUCUGGUUCUUGGCAAGGUGAAGUGCUUUACGAGAGACACUCAAGUUUUCGUGUCCCUGAAAUUUACAUGAAUUAUGAAGCACUUAAACAUUCCCUUUCAAUGCCUCUGAAGAUCUUUGUGUGCUUCAGUUUCAUUUUUUAGUAUUUGUCCAUUCUGGUAUUUCUAAUUAGCUAUAUGUAAUUCAUCUGUUUUCAUUGUCUUGUUUUGUCCACUGAUAGGAAUGCUGUCAUUCUUGACUAUCAGUAGCAGACUUCUUGACAGAACCUGUAGCAGUUCCAAAUGAUGUUUUCCAAUGACUUAGUUUCGGAGGUGGUACUGUGUAGUAUGUGUUAUCUUACCAGUGUUAGACUAAAAUAAUGCUAUUUUCAAUGGUAAGAUGACAGUUACCAAACCAUGUGUUCUCCUUGUCAGUAUCAUUUUCUGACACCAUCCACAGUACUAUUAAAGUGGGAAAUUGGGAUUCACGCCAUUCUUAUGAAGUUUCACUCGGCUGUCUCCACGACACUUGACACAAUUCCUGAAAUCGUCAUUUGGCAGCAAUCUGUAUUCCGAACAGACAUCCAAAUAAGAUUGCACACUGAACAAUUGAGGAAUUGAGUUUCGCCAGGUAGGAGUUUUGAGACUAGAGAUGCCAACAGCUUCACUCAUUCCAAUAAAUGCUACAUGAUGUUUCCAUUGCAAUCACAAAACAUUCCAUAUCUCCCAUCACAACAGCUGCGCAUUUAGUGUAUUUCAUCAUUCAAUAUAUAUUGUUCAUAGCUCAUGUGUUCGAUAGGCAAUGCUUCUUUGGAAUUACUGAAUUCUUUGUCAGUGGUCAAUAUUUGGCAUAACAUGAAUUUGAAGAAUGUGAGAUCAUUUUACCAGUGCAUUUUUACCACCUUUAAAUGUAGGCUAAAUUGGUUGUUCUGCUUUGUUCUUUCUAAAGGAGAUCACUUCUUAUUCAUCAAUGUCUACUGUUAUAACUUGUCCAAUAGUGCACUUUAUAGGCUUUGCACCUACAAUUUUAAUAGCAGCAAAAGAAACUAAAUAAAUAUCUUCCAUUUCAUCACCCGUUUGACCAGUGACAUCAUUAUUUAAUGUGUGCUUCAGAAUUACUGAAUUGCAGUUUUCCCAUGAACCAAAGUUAAAUUCAGAAGCAUUUUGGUUGAUAGAAUUCUCUUUAUAAAUCAUUAGGACAAACCAGGGUGCUUGAUGCUAACCAUCAACUUUGGCCAGUGACGUCAUAUCAAGUCCAAAGAAGCAACAGAAACACGAAAUUGGUUUUGUGACGAUGUAGUGUCUGACGCUCUGUCCACGCCAUUUGUGGCAUGGAAUUCUAGGCUGUGCCCUUAACUGAUUGUCUUUGCACUAAAAUGCAAGAUAAUGAUUUGUGCAAGGUUAGUUUGCACUUCUUACCCAUGGAGCUAUCGGUGUGUUGUAUGUGUACUGGUGGAAGGUCGCCUUUGUCUGCCACGGGAGAAGGUGGUUGCUUUGUGGCUUCUGAUAUUUUGUAUUGUAAGCAGAUACCAAGUGCAGAGGAAGAGUGGUGAGAAACUGCAAACAGGUAUAAUUUAAACUUUAAUUUCAUCCACUGCAUUGAUGCAAUUGGCAAGAAACACACAAUACAGACUUCCACUGUUUUCUGGUGCUUCAAUCAACACAGCUAUUAUCUAACAUGUGUUGUUGUUUUGAUGGCUAUUGCAGAUGCUCACUACAGAAUUCAGUAUGCCAGUUUGGAAUGCCAGGAGAGAAUCUCAGACGACGGAACGAAUAAGGUUAUUGAAAAUGAACUGCAACUUCCAUAACCGACAUUGAUACCAGAGAAAAGCAAAGUGGUUACUCCUUUUGCGUAGGUAACAGAUGACACAUUUGCAAUAGGCUCAAACCUCAUGAAGCCCUCCCAGAUCCAGACCCAUACCCAAAGGGUUCGCUAGGAAGAGUGUUUAAUUAUUGAUUGAGCAGAGGUCAACACAGGAUAGAGAAUGUAUUCAAUUUCCUGGCAUUUGUUUUCAGAGUGGCUUUUGAUGGUGGGGUCACAUAUACAGUAUGCAGUUACAACUUCAAGAACAUCACACUUAUUGUGACAUUAGUUAUUUUUCAGAACUAAGUCAAUAUGUACUUCAGUAGUACUGCAACUCUUUGGAGAUCUCAUUUUCUAUGAGAAAGCUCAUCAUACUGUAUCCAAACAAUACAGGCUCAUUCCAUGAAAUCUCACAGUGAGUGAUCAGUUGACCAUUUCAUGAUGUCUCAUCAGUAUUUACUCAUCAUUAAUCUGGCACCAAUUUCCAUAUUCUGAGAGAUCUACUACUUAGUAAUGAGUUAACCUACAGCUCUCAGAUUUUUGUACAUAAAGUCCUUGCUACUAAGUUGGUGUAACAUACAAAAAGGGGGUUCAACAUUUUGAUUUUUUAUAAAAAAUGUUGAAAUACUCAUUUUCCAUGCCGUGCUUUAAAUUGGUGAUAUUCUUAACACUAUUUUGUACAGGGAAACAGUAUAGAUAUUGGCCUGUGCACUGCAACUCUUUAGUACCAGUAUUAAGUUUUUACAAUAGUGCAAAGCAUUUCACAUCACAAUUAAUAGCUCUUAUUUUCACUUAAAGAUGACACCAUUAAAAAAAAAUAAAACUUGACUAGCUUUGAAGUUUUUUUGCUGAAAUGUUUAUGUAUCUGGUAGCAACCUUACAUGCAGAGAAUAAUAUCCUGACUUGCUUUAUUCAUUGGCAAAAAAUAAACCACCAGCAAUCACUGUUGGGAUAAGGUUCACCCACCUAUCAAAGGGGUGUAGACGGGGGUGAAAAAGAAGUGUAGCUCAUAACAUGAAUUCCUAGACUAAUCACUAAGUUUAAAGCAUAUAUGAAAUUUUUUCCUGUGAAUAAUACAAAAUGAUGAAAGUAAAAAAAGUUCAUCGCUUACUUCUUUUCUGAUGUUCUUGCAGUAAACGUACUGCAAGAGGCAUGACAUUAUAAUUUAUUAUUACUUUAGUCAUAACCGUAAUUGCGACACAUUUUGCAGACAGUAAGCACAUACAGCACUUACUGUAACUGCAAAAUUAUAUGUGUGAAUGGCACGUAAUUCAGGAGAUAUUAUAUCAUCAUAAACAAUGAGAAGAGUGAAAAACCGAUGAAUCAUGCAAAAUGUUUAAAUUUAUUGUCUUGUUGUUAGUAACUCAAUUUACAACACAUUUUGAAGACAGGAUCCACAUAUGCAACUGAAGAUACCUACAAAAUUUUUAUCAUUGUAUGAAUCAUAGUUUGAGAGAUACGAUACAAACAUUAAGCACAACGCUGCUCACCAGAUUUCUCUCCUAGCUUAGCAAAUAGACUCCAUAUGUAUUCUUAGAACAAUUCUUCGUGAAAUAUAUGUGGUUGUCCUUACAUGUCAGAACUGUAACAGGUGUGAGAAUUGAAAUUAGUUAUCAGUCAUUUUCAGUGUGGUGACACAUUGUUAUUCUGUUACUGUAAAUUAGAAAGACGCCAGGGGCAUGAAAUGAGAUGUAAGCAGUACUGAGAGACAUCAAUAUUUCUUAUGCUUAUAAUGGCAUAUAGACUCUGAGAUUCUGCAGAGAACAGUCUCAUAAAGUAAUUAAAGUACAAGGAAGGAAAUUUUACACUAAAGAGCCAAAGAAACUGGUACACCGGCCAAAUAUUGUGUAGGGCCUCCGCGAACAUGCAGAAGUGCUGCAAAACGACGUGGCAGGGACUCGACUAAUGUCAGAAGUAGUGCUGGAAGGAACUGCGACCAUGUAUCAUGCAGGGCUGUUCAUAAAUCUAUUAUAAUAUGACGGAGUGGAGAUUUCUUCAGAACAGCAUGUCGCAAGGCAUCCCAGAUAUGCUCAACAAUGUUCAUGUCUGCAGAGUUUGGCAGCCAGUGGAAGUGUUUAAACUCAGAAGAAUAUUCCUAGAGCCACAGUGUACCAAUACUGGAUGUUCGGGGUGUCGCAUUGUCCUGCUGGAAUUGCCCAAGUUGGUCGGAAUGCACAAUGGACAUGAAUGGAUGCAGCUGAUCAGACAGGAUACUCACGCAUGUGUCACCUGUCAGUUGUAUCUAGACGUAUCAGGUGUCCCAUAUCACACCAUCUGUGUCCACCCCACACAACAACAGAGUUUCCGCCAACUUGAACAGGCCCAUGUUGGCAUGCUGGAUUCGUGGAUUCAUGAGGUUGUCUCCAUACCCAUACACAUCCAUCCGCUCGAUAUUAUUUGAAAUGAGAUUCGUCCGAGAAGACAACAUGUUUCCAGUCAUCAGCAGUCCAAUGUCGGUAUUGAUGGGCCCAGGCAAGAUAUAAAGCUUAGUGUCAUGCAGUCAUCAAGGGUACAUGAGUGGGCCUUCACCUCCGAAAACUCAUAUCGAUGAUGUUUUAUUCGAUGGUUCGCACGCUGACACUUGUUGAUAACCCAGCAUUGAAAUCUGCAGCAAUUUAUGGAAGGGUUGCACUUAUGUCACGUUGAACAAUUCUCUAGUCGUUGUUGGUCCUGUUCUUGCAGGAUCUUUUUCUGGCCUCGGCGAUGUCAGAGAUUUGAUGUUUCAUAGGAUUCCUGAUACUCACGGUACACUCGUGAUUGGUCGUAUUGGAAAAUCCCAACUUCAUUGCUGCCUUGGAGAUGCUGUGUCCCAUCACUAAUGCGUCAACUAUGACACUACGAUCAAACACUCUUAAUUGUUGAUAACAUGCCAUUGUAGCAGCAAUAACUGAUUUAACAACUGCACUAGAUACUUGUCUUCUGUAGGUGUUCCCGACUGCAGUGGCAUAUUCUGCCUGUUGUCAUAUCUCUGUAUUCGAAUACGCACGCCUAUACCAGUUUCUCUGGCACUUCAGUGUAAUAAAUACACAUCAUCUACUGUGCAUGUAACAUUGUUUUCCAUGACGUCUUGAUCCAGAAAUGAAAUAAGUUCACUUUAGGAUGAGAGAUCAGAUCUUUCCAUAGCAUUUAUUGUCAUGUUUGUGGAAUGAUGGGACCUUGCAUAUAACAUUGGAGAAUGGGACUUGCACAGCAUCUUUCCUACAGGCCCAGGAUGGGAAUGGUGAUUCAUCUGGAGAAAAGCAGUUAAUCUCAGCAUCUUUAAAUUCAUUCAAUAUGAGGAAAUGCAUGUACCAGUUUUCAUCAUAUCUGAAAACCACAAACUGUGCUUCCAUAGAUAGGUUGUGUGCAUGCGGCUACCGCACUUGGGACUUUGGUUACAGUUUUCUCUGGAGUGUUCAAAGCCCUAACAUCUGGAGCACUGGAUUGGUUGUGAUGGUGGUAUUGAGUUCAAGAUGUUCACUGAGUAAACUAUCUACUUUUGACAGGUCUCUUGUAGUGACUUAUAUCAGGGAAGCUUCACCCAGUAUCCUUGGAGUCCAGCCUUAACUGCCCUUUGGCAGGUAUAAAUUUUGUUCGGCCAGCUCUUCCUCUGCCUCUUGUGUAAUAUUGAAAUCAGUGCCCUUAAUGAUCAUGCAAAUUGUAAGUAGUUGGCAUUUUGUGUUAGAAUCUGUGUUAAUGCAUAGGUUUUUGUAGUUGUUGUUAAAUGUUAAAUGUGUUUUAUUUAUCUCAUAACGUACAAUAUUUCAGAACAUAUGUCUGAUGUACAGGAGACACGUCAAGGUUACAAUUAGCUUAUUUACAAUUUUUUCAUACUUACAGUAAUACUUUGUGAAGAAUUUACUUACUUAAAAUUUGUCAAACUUAUAGCAUUUACAUCUACUAUAACUAUCAGAAAUUUUUAUUCCAUUUUAGGGAUCCAGUUCAAAGUAUCACUUCAUCCUUCAUGAAAUCUUCCACAGAGUAGUAGCAUCGUUUAAUUAGAAAAUCAUGUAACUUGCUUUUUAAAAUAUUUACCUUCAUACUCAUCAUGCCACACCCUUUUAUAGAGUUGUGAAUUUUCAUGGCUAUAUACUGAGGAGUCUGAGCACGCAGUUUUAAGCGAUGAGAGGUGAGCAUAAAGUUUUCUUUAUGUCUCGUGUCAUACGAGUGUUCAAAAUGAUUUUUUUUUUAAUAGAUCAGCUCUCCUGCGUAGGAAAAGAAUCACCUCAAGGAUGUAUAGAGAGGGAACAGUUAAUAUUUUUAGAUCUCUAAAUAAUGGUCUACAUGAUGCCCUCGGCUGUGCAGAGCACAUGUUGCGAACGAUUCUUUUUUGCAAUUUUAAGAUCCGUGUAACGUUUCCAGAGUUUCCCCAAAAAAUUAUGCCAUAUCGAAUAACUGAUUCGAAGUAGCUAUAAUACGCUAUUUUCCUGGUGGCCAUAUCAGUGGCACAGGCUAAAAUUUCCAUUGCAAAAGCAAGGCUGUUUAAUUUAUUUGCUAGAUAUUCUAUAUGAGAAUUCCAGCUCAAAGUUUUGUCUAAGUUUAUUCCCAGGAACCUGACUGAGUCAAGUUCUUUCAUUUUUUGAUUGUUGUGAGUGAUACAGAUUUCUUCAGUUUUUGACUUUUUGGAUUUAAAACUCAUCAUGUGGGUUUUUGAAAUGUUUAGCCUUAAGCCAUUUAGACUGAACCAUGUUUCCAGGUUUCUUAACGUAUUCAUGACACAAUGUGGUACAUUUUCAGAAUUUUCAUUUUCAAUUAGGGCAGAAGUAUCAUCUGCAAACAAAGUUAAAUGAGUAUUUAUAUUGAGAGGCAAGUCAUUUACAUAGAACAAGAAUAAAAUGGGUCCAAGAAUUGAGCCUUGAGGAACACCUUGUGUGACAGUUUUCCACUCUGAGAAGUAAUCUGCUCCAUUUGAUGUGAUUAUUACCCUUUGCUUCCUCUACGACAGGUAUGAUUCAAACCAUUUCAAAGCAAUAUCCCUUAUUCCAUACCUGUUGAGUUUGAAAAGCAUGAGGGCAUGGUUUACAGAGUCGAAUGCUUUUGUAAGAUCACAAAAUAUUCCUGCGACCUUAGCUUUCCUAUCUAGUGAUGAAGUAAUUUUUUCAAUAAACUCAUUUAUUGCAUCUACUGUGUUUUUGCCUUUGAGAUAAGCCUCUACAUCCUUACAUUUGUCCUCUAGCCAUCCCUGCUUAGCCAUUUUGCACUUCCUGUCGAUCUCAUUUUUGAGACGUUUGUAUUCCUUUUUGCCUGCUUCAUUUACUGUAUUUUUAUGUUUUCUCCUUUCAUCAAUUAAAUUCAGUAUUUCUUCUGUCACCCAAGGAUUUCUAUUAGCCCUCGUCUUUUUACGUACUUGAUCCUCUGCUGCCUUCACUACUUCAUCCCUCAAAGCUACCAAUUCUUCUUCUACUGUACUUCUUUCUCCCAUUCCUGUCAAUUGUUCCCUUAUGCUCUCCCUGAAACUCUGUACAACCUCUGGUUCUUUCAGUUUAUCCAGCUCCCAUCUCCUUAAAUUCCCACCUUUUUGCAGUUUCUUCAGUUUUAAUCUACAGGUCAUAACCAAUAGAUUGUGGUCAGAAUCCACAUCUGCCCCUGGAAAUGUCUUACAAUUUAAAACCUGGUUCCUAAAUCUCUGUCUUACCAUUAUAUAAUCUAUCUCAAACCUGUCAGUAUCUCCAGGCUUUUUACAUGUAUACAACCUUCUUUCAUGAUUCUUGAACCAAGUGUUAUCUAUGAUUAAGUUGUGUUCUGUGCAAAAUUCUACCAGGCUGCUUCCUCUUUUAUUUCUUAGCCCCAAUCCAUAUUCAACUAUACGUUUCCUUCUCUCCCUACACUACACUCGAAUUCCAGUCACCCAUGACUAUUAAAUUUUCUUCUCCCUUCACUAUCUGAAUAAUUUCUUUUAUUUCAUCAUACAUUUCUUCAA
Molecule: long non-coding RNA, 13853 nt
Organism: Schistocerca gregaria
Lineage: Eukaryota; Metazoa; Arthropoda; Insecta; Orthoptera; Acrididae
Exons: 3
Source: RefSeq, a predicted model, not a curated record